Molecule: long non-coding RNA, 226 nt
Filed under: Fukomys damarensis (Damara mole-rat)
Lineage: Eukaryota; Metazoa; Chordata; Mammalia; Rodentia; Bathyergidae
Description: lncRNA (ENSFDAG00000027516.1)
Source: RNAcentral
GAAGCAGGUAGAUCUUAUGAGAAAAAUGGACCAGAAAAUCAGAGUAUGAUGACAACAUCCAGACUAGAGGCUCCAGAUGCAAGGACUUGAAAUGAAAAUUCCUGACGUAACUCAUCAUAAGGCCAACUCCUUAUGUCUCACCUGAAGACUUAUUCCGACUGAAAUGAAGUUCACCAAGGCUUCCUCGCCCUCCUUCACCUGUGGUGUACCUGUCCUUGCUCUCAGA